Long non-coding RNA from Cimex lectularius (bed bug), 311 nucleotides. RefSeq lists it as uncharacterized. The transcript is spliced from 3 exons. The record is from RefSeq and is a predicted model, not a curated record. NCBI's taxonomy places the organism in Eukaryota, Metazoa, Arthropoda, Insecta, Hemiptera, Cimicidae.
UCAGGUCUCGGGGCCUCUAUUUUUUUUGGACGUGUAGGAUUAUUGGGAAGACAUCGAAAGGAUCUCGAGAGGAAAGUUGUUGUACGUGGAGAUUAAAGUGAGGUCUUUAUGGAUGGUGCGUUGGAAACAUAGAACGGGGCGUGGACGAUGGAUCUGACGAGUCUGAUUGUAGUGUCUGGAUUCCGAGGAGGAAGAUUGGAAUCUGGAUUGUGGAAGAGAAGGACGAUCAUCGCAAAUACAUUCGACGAGGAGAUAAGGGUUAAUCCUGAAAGGAGUGCACUGGUAGACGGAUAUAUUAGAUUUUCAUUUUU